UGGGGAAUUUUGGACAAUGGGCGAAAGCCUGAUCCAGCAAUGCCGCGUGUGUGAAGAAGGCCUUCGGGUUGUAAAGCACUUUUGUCCGGAAAGAAAUCCUUGGCUCUAAUACAGUCGGGGGAUGACGGUACCGGAAGAAUAAGCACCGGCUAACUACGUGCCAGCAGCCGCGGUAAUACGUAGGGUGCAAGCGUUAAUCGGAAUUACUGGGCGUAAAGCGUGCGCAGGCGGUUUGCUAAGACCGAUGUGAAAUCCCCGGGCUCAACCUGGGAACUGCAUUGGUGACUGGCAGGCUAGAGUAUGGCAGAGGGGAGUAGAAUUCCACGUGUAGCAGUGAAAUGCGUAGAGAUGUGGAGGAAUACCGAUGGCGAAGGCAGCCCCCUGGGCCAAUACUGACGCUCAUGCACGAAAAGCGUGGGGAGCAAACAGGAUUAGAUACCCUGGUAGUCCACGCCCUAAACGAUGUCAACUAGUUGUUGGGGAUUCAUUUCCUUAGUAACGUAGCUAACGCGUGAAGUUGACCGCCUGGGGAGUACGGUCGCAAGAUUAAAACUUAAAGGAAUUGACGGGGUCAUAGCUGUUUCCU
This 586-nucleotide ribosomal RNA is filed under the name uncultured bacterium. RNAcentral's name for it is "partial 16S ribosomal RNA". It matches the Rfam family "Bacterial small subunit ribosomal RNA", at positions 355 to 1375 of the family's 1533-position model. The record is from RNAcentral.